AGGACGAACGCUGGCGGCGUGCUUAACACAUGCAAGUCGAGCGGAAAGGCCUUUCGGGGUACUCGAGCGGCGAACGGGUGAGUAACACGUGAGUAAUCUGCCCAUCGCUUCAGGAUAGCCAUCGGAAACGGUGAUUAAUACUGGAUAUGACAUUCCUUCGCAUGUUGGGGUGUGGAAAGUUUUUUCGGCGGUGGAUGUGCUCGCGGCCUAUCAGCUUGUUGGUGGGGUAAUGGCCUACCAAGGCUUUGACGGGUAGCCGGCCUGAGAGGGUGAUCGGCCA
This 280-nucleotide ribosomal RNA is filed under the name uncultured soil bacterium. RNAcentral describes it as "partial 16S ribosomal RNA". It matches the Rfam family "Bacterial small subunit ribosomal RNA", at positions 26 to 310 of the family's 1533-position model. The record is from RNAcentral.